AGCAGCCGCGGUAAUUCCAGCUCCAAUAGCGUAUAUUAAAGUUGUUGCAGUUAAAAAGCUCGUAGUUGAAUUUCGGGGUUAGUAGGUUGGUCAUGCCUCUGGUAUGUACUGGUCUCACUGAUUCCUCCUUCCUGAUGAGCUGUAAUGCCAUUAAUUCGGUGUUGCAGGGAAUCUGGACUGUUACUUUGAAAAAAUUAGAGUGUUUAAAGCAGGCUAACGCUUGAAUACAUUAGCAUGGAAUAAUGAAAUAGGACGUUCGAUCCUAUUUUGUUGGUUUCUAGGAUUGACGUAAUGAUUAAUAGGGAUAGUUGGGGGCAUUAGUAUUCAAUUGUCAGAGGUGAAAUUCUUGGAUUUAUUGAAGACUAACUACUGCGAAAGCAUUUGCCAAGGAUGUUUUCAU
RNAcentral lists this ribosomal RNA (400 nucleotides) under uncultured Glomeromycotina. RNAcentral's name for it is "SSU rRNA". It matches the Rfam family "Eukaryotic small subunit ribosomal RNA", at positions 569 to 973 of the family's 1831-position model. Lineage: Eukaryota; Fungi; Glomeromycota. The record is from RNAcentral.